RNAcentral lists this ribosomal RNA (413 nucleotides) under Mantidactylus melanopleura. RNAcentral describes it as "partial 16S ribosomal RNA". It matches the Rfam family "Bacterial large subunit ribosomal RNA", at positions 2021 to 2597 of the family's 2925-position model. The record is from RNAcentral. Lineage: Eukaryota; Metazoa; Chordata; Amphibia; Anura; Mantellidae.
UCCUUUUUCAAAUCAGUGAAAUUAAUCUCCCCGUGAAGAAGCGGGGAUACUCAUAUAAGACGAGAAGACCCCAUGGAGCUUCAAACCCAACUACACCCCUAGCUCUUAUAGCCCCACAACCCCCCCUAGGCGCCGUGUGCUUGGUUUUAGGUUGGGGCGACCGCGGAGUACAAUAAAACCUCCACAAUGAAUGGGAACACCCCCUUAUCUGAGGGCCACACCCCCUAAGAAUUAGAACACUAACAUAAAAUGAUCCAUUACUUGAUCAAUGAACCAAGUUACCCUGGGGAUAACAGCGCAAUCCAUUUCAAGAGCCCCUAUCGACAAAUGGGUUUACGACCUCGAUGUUGGAUCAGGGUACCCCAGUGGUGCAGCAGCUACUAACGGUUCGUUUGUUCAACGAUUAAAACCCU